GUGGCUAACAAUUCGAGCUGACCCAUGCCACUAGGUUAGUCAUAAUUGUUAUGACUAUGUCAAAUUAAGUUUAAAGAGACCUAAAUCAAAUCUUUCUAAGAAAAUAUUAAGUCUAGGUCUUCCACCAUUGUGAAUGUGUGGGCCCUUUUCGGGGUUGAUUAUUCUCGGCUGGUUACAGUGGCUCAGUUGCACCAAGAAGAUACAACCAUGUCUAUUAGAC
RNAcentral lists this long non-coding RNA (220 nucleotides) under Elaeis guineensis (African oil palm). Its description in RNAcentral is "long non-coding RNA (EGUI_LNC062212)". The record is from RNAcentral. Lineage: Eukaryota; Viridiplantae; Streptophyta; Magnoliopsida; Arecales; Arecaceae.